AAAAAACUCUUCACUGGCCAGUUUAUUGAAGGAAUGGUCAUCAUUUUGGGGCAAAUGAAGAGAUGUUUGAAAUUUAGAGAGAGAAGGGAGUAUUUCAAAGCCGUGACAUACAAUUUGAGCAUUCGCGUUAGGGUUUUGGCGGAGAAUCGCAUUCGAUAAGAGCAAGCGGUUCUAAUUAGGGUUUUGGACGCCAUUGUUUUGGAGAAAUGAUCGGUUUUCCUCAACUAAAAACCCUAGCGAAGAGAGUAGGAAUGUGAACGGGGCAAGUCGGGGGUGGGAUUGCUCCUCCAUUCUAGACUCAUAGUGGUUCGGGGUGGCAUUGUCCGCCGGGAAGCGAGUCGGAGCCGGUUCCC
RNAcentral lists this unclassified non-coding RNA (353 nucleotides) under Hevea brasiliensis (rubber tree). Lineage: Eukaryota; Viridiplantae; Streptophyta; Magnoliopsida; Malpighiales; Euphorbiaceae. The record is from RNAcentral.